Anguilla anguilla (European eel) is the source of this 283-nucleotide long non-coding RNA. RefSeq lists it as uncharacterized. Lineage: Eukaryota; Metazoa; Chordata; Actinopteri; Anguilliformes; Anguillidae. The record is from RefSeq and is a predicted model, not a curated record. The transcript has 3 exons.
GGAAAUUAGGUAGAUUCCCUCUGGUUUUGGAGGGAGAGCAGAUGUAGGGGUACCAAGGAUUUCAAUCAAAGAAGAAGACUCAUAUGUGCAUUUGGAAUUAGCUGAUUACAAUGAUCUUUGUGAACAUAUAAUUCGUAAGGGCGGCAUUGUGGUGCAGUGGGUAGCCCUGUUGCCUCUCAGCAAGAAGGUUCGAAUCUUGGCCUAGGCCUUUCUGUGUGGAGUUUGCAUGUUCUCCCCGUGUCCGCGUGGGUUUCCUCCAGGUACUCCGGCUUCCUCCUACAGU